Molecule: transfer RNA, 117 nt
Filed under: Candidatus Thorarchaeota archaeon
Lineage: Archaea; Promethearchaeati; Candidatus Thorarchaeota
Description: tRNA-Ser
Source: RNAcentral
GCCCGGAUAGCCAAGCUCGGUACGGCGGUAGCCUGGAAAGCUACUCUCCUUAUGGAGGCAUGAAGGGCGAACAUGUCGUUCGCCUUGGCUAACGUUCAAGUCGCAUUCCGGGCGCCA